Molecule: ribosomal RNA, 263 nt
Filed under: uncultured eukaryote
Lineage: Eukaryota
Description: partial 18S ribosomal RNA
Rfam family: Eukaryotic small subunit ribosomal RNA
Source: RNAcentral
UUGGAGGGCAAGUCUGGUGCCAGCAGCCGCGGUAAUUCCAGCUCCAAUAGCGUAUAUUAAAGUUGUUGCAGUUAAAACGCUCGUAGUUGAAAGUCUGCUUAUGACAACGGGUCAUCUCCUUCGGAUAUGUACUUGUUGUCACUGGCAUUAUUACGAUGCAUUCAGCGGUUUUCCGUUGUGUGUGUUCGUAAACGUUACUUUGAGAAAAAUUAGAGUGUUUCAAGCAGGCGUAACGCCUUGAAUACUUCAGCAUGGAAUAACAA